CCACCUGACCCCAUGCCGAACUCAGAAGUGAAACGCCGUAGCGCCGAUGGUAGUGUGGGGCUUCCCCAUGUGAGAGUAGGGAACUGCUAGGC
Molecule: ribosomal RNA, 92 nt
Filed under: Candidatus Symbiopectobacterium sp. Chty_BC
Lineage: Bacteria; Pseudomonadati; Pseudomonadota; Gammaproteobacteria; Enterobacterales; Enterobacteriaceae
Source: RNAcentral